RNAcentral lists this ribosomal RNA (253 nucleotides) under uncultured bacterium. RNAcentral describes it as "partial 16S ribosomal RNA". It matches the Rfam family "Bacterial small subunit ribosomal RNA", at positions 524 to 776 of the family's 1533-position model. The record is from RNAcentral.
UACGAAGGGUGCAAGCGUUAGUCGGAAUUACUGGGCGUAAAGCGUGCGUAGGCGGUCUCUUAAGUCCGUUGUGAAAUCCCCGGGCUCAACCUGGGAAUGGCAUUUGGGACUGCAAGGCUGGAGUGCGGCAGAGGAGACUGGAAUUCCUGGUGUAGCAGUGAAAUGCGUAGAUAUCAGGAGGAACACCGAUGGCGAAGGCAGGUCUCUGGGCUGACACUGACGCUCAUGCACGAAAGCGUGGGGAGCAAACAGG